GCUGUGAAGGCCCCAGUGUAUGCCCACGUUGCCUGUGAAUUCCUGCACCUCCCCUCUAUUGAAUUUCCUUAUUCUGCACAGGAAUCGAAGGAGCCAAAUGGAGAAGGGCUGGAGUAUUUUAGAGUAUUCCUGCUGGCACUGGUAGCCGGGGCACCAGGAUGCUGUGGGCUGAGGUGACUCCAGGGAAAUCCCGUGGUCCUGUGAAGAGGCAUUGUCAGCCAGAGGACAGAAGGAACAAGUGGGCAGAGUAUUCCUUGCUGGUACUGGUAGCAGAGGCACCAGGAUGCUGUGUGCUGAGGUGACGCCAGGGAAAUCCAGUGGUCCCGUGAAGAGGCAUUGUCAGCCAGAGCACAGAAGGAGCACGUUGGCAGAGGUGACGGGUCUGCGCCCAUGUUCUUGUAGAGCUGGGCGAGCUCUGCUGCAAAGAGCUCAGGAAACAGGCAGCAGCUGUCCCUGAAGCCCUUGCCUUUGGCUCUCUCUCCACUUCCUGUUGGGAUAUUAGGGGACACAAGACCAAUGGUGGACUUUGGACCUGGUUAAUGUAAGACAUUUGAUAUCAGGAUGCCUUGGCAAAAGGAAAUGGAACUUUGACAAUUAGUCCUAGAUUGCAAGAAGAUUAAAUCAUAAUGGGUUUACUGGAAAAAGAAAAUCCCAUUAAAUUCUGCAAGCAAGAGUUGUUAUAUGCAUAAGUUUCUGUAUGUAAUUUUAACCCAAUCAUUGUAGUACACUAGUCUCCCUGAAAUAGGAUAUAUAAGCGUUUUUAUCCCACAAUAAAAACAUUCUGAUCACCUAAUCAGUCUUCCCUGUCUCUCUCCAUCACUGACAAUUGGUACCUCUGUGUGAGGAAAUGAGCCAGACUGGCAGCAGUCGGCGAGCCCCUGGAACUGAUCGUGAUGGUGAGAGAACUGCGUCUGGGCCCACAAUCUCCUGUCUGCUGCGACUGACAGAAAACAGAGAGGAAGCGCUGGGUGGCACUAUGCAAGACACAGAUGCCUCAGCCGAUGCCUCAGCCGGACCGCCACAAGCCUCAGCCCAGCCACCGCCCACAGAGCACAAGAAUGGACCUGGCAACCUGCGAGGUUCCUUGAUUCAUCUGUUCAUUUGAUUCCCAUAGGAGUUUUUGGACCACCUGGACAGCCUAUGCACACUUUGAUUGUUUGCUCUCCCUGGAGCUAUUGACUCUGAUUCAUGGCAUGGACUCUCCAGAUGCUCUGUAUAGUCCUGGUCAGGAGCAAUACAGCUCAACUUAUACCCUUUCCUGCAGCACCCCUGUCUGCACCCCUGAUAGCUGACCAGAGGGAGGGGGGUUUUGCUUCCACAGAGCUCCCACAGAUUUUAGGACACAACUGCAUUAGAUCUGAGCAUCUAACAUGCCAAUGCAAAGUGACUCUGAAAGGCAGACACACUCUUGACAGGACUCAUUGAUACACAAGAGGAUGUGACUGUAAUCUCAAGAAGACAAUAGCCCAAGGACCGACCAUUAACGAGUCAGGGACUCUCCAGCAUGAGUGGAAGGAGCGAAAGCCUGCAAAGAUAACACUUGGUGCAAGUAAAACGGCCUGAUGGGCAUAUUGGCACAGUUAAACUUUUUGUGCUGUCUGUCCCCCUGGUUUUGUGGGGGAGGGAUGUGUUAACACAGUGGCCAAUUAUUAUAUAUUCAGAUUUUCUGCAGGGUCAUUUGGGACACUUGACACCCCCACAAUGGUCCCCGACUGAAGUGCUCCAGGAACUUUCAGGCAUUGGAAGGAGCAGUCCAGUUAUCAAAACUCACAGUUCAUACAGAUCUAAAGACCUGAGGGACACCUA
This is a long non-coding RNA of Passer domesticus (house sparrow), 1806 nucleotides long. RefSeq lists it as uncharacterized. The record is from RefSeq and is a predicted model, not a curated record. NCBI's taxonomy places the organism in Eukaryota, Metazoa, Chordata, Aves, Passeriformes, Passeridae. The transcript is spliced from 4 exons.